This 883-nucleotide unclassified non-coding RNA is filed under the name Hevea brasiliensis (rubber tree). Lineage: Eukaryota; Viridiplantae; Streptophyta; Magnoliopsida; Malpighiales; Euphorbiaceae. The record is from RNAcentral.
GCACAUUUACAGAAAACAACACAUGCAUGUAUGAGUGUAAUUUAAGGAGCAUCUACACAAGAUUAGAUAAUAGAUUGAAGCCAACUGUUUCUGUUAAUAAUAAGCCCAGCACCAAGAAAAUGCCGACUUCUUUUCAAACAUACAUGAAAGGAUCAACCUUUAUGCUCAAAGCAUGAUAAAUAUGACAAGAAAAAAUGACAAAAUAUGCAGUUUAUGCUUCUUUUAACCUUGAGCAUCUUCAAUCAUAAGCAAUUCUGAUGUGAUAGUUUAUACCUCCUUCCCCUCUUCUUCUUCUUGUUUAUGUUAUCAGGAAGAUGCUCUUCUCUUCCUCUCCCUGAUUUUUAUUUCAUUCAAAGCAACAUUCUACUCUAAAAUUGAUUCAUACUUUACCAUAGAGAUGGUGUUUCUUUUGUGUUGAUAGUUACUUGGCACAAGGGAGAAGAAAGCAUGAAUUAAACAUAAUUAACUUUUGAAGGGGAGAAAUAAGUUAUUUACUCUCUAAUGCUCUUUACACUGUUUUUGGAAGAUUUCAUUAGAUAGGAAAGGAUGAUGAUUAGUCCAUAAAAUACAAAAGAAAAGAAAUGAGAGGUUAGCAAUUUCUCAUGAUUGGAGGUUUUACGAUAUAGAAAAGAAUUUUAAGAAUUAAGGGUAAAAUAGUCAUGUUCAGAAAAAUAUUUGUAAACUUGACAGAGAAAUUUUAUUCCCUCAACUUUGACGGGAAAGCAAAGUAGGGUUUUCCCCUACAUUUUCUUUCUUUUCCAAAUUCAUCAAACUUCCAUACAAGCAAUAACUCUUAUCCCUUCAUGUUUUCCUUUCUUAUCCCCCCAUCCAAUCAAAGUAUUGGUGACACAGAAUUGUCAUCACAAGGUUCUCCUUUAGAUUG